This 182-nucleotide ribosomal RNA is filed under the name uncultured bacterium. RNAcentral's name for it is "partial 16S ribosomal RNA". It matches the Rfam family "Bacterial small subunit ribosomal RNA", at positions 1319 to 1500 of the family's 1533-position model. The record is from RNAcentral.
CAUGAAGUCGGAAUUGCUAGUAAUCGUAGGUCAGCAUACUACGGUGAAUACGUUCCCGGGCCUUGUACACACCGCCCGUCAAACCAUGAGAGUUGGCAACACCCGAAGUCGGUAGUCUAACCGCAAGGAGGACGCCGCCGAAGGUGGGGUUGAUGAUUAGGGUUAAGUCGUAACAAGGUAUC